RNAcentral lists this ribosomal RNA (540 nucleotides) under uncultured bacterium. RNAcentral's name for it is "partial 16S ribosomal RNA". It matches the Rfam family "Bacterial small subunit ribosomal RNA", at positions 355 to 887 of the family's 1533-position model. The record is from RNAcentral.
UGGGGAAUUUUGGACAAUGGGGGAAACCCUGAUCCAGCCAUCCCGCGUGUGCGAUGAAGGCCUUCGGGUUGUAAAGCACUUUUGGCAGGAAAGAAACGUCGCGGGUUAAUACCCCGCGAAACUGACGGUACCUGCAGGAUAAGCACCGGCUAACUACGUGCCAGCAGCCGCGGUAAUACGUAGGGUGCAAGCGUUAAUCGGAAUUACUGGGCGUAAAGCGUGCGCAGGCGGUUCGGAAAGAAAGAUGUGAAAUCCCAGAGCUUAACUUUGGAACUGCAUUUUUUAACUACCGGGCUAGAGUGUGUCAGAGGGAGGUGGAAUUCCGCGUGUAGCAGUGAAAUGCGUAGAUAUGCGGAGGAACACCGAUGGCGAAGGCAGCCUCCUGGGAUAACACUGACGCUCAUGCACGAAAGCGUGGGGAGCAAACAGGAUUAGAUACCCUGGUAGUCCACGCCCUAAACGAUGUCAACUAGCUGUUGGGGCCUUCGGGCCUUGGUAGCGCAGCUAACGCGUGAGGUUGACCGCCUGGGGAGUACGGUC